GUGCUCACUUUGGCAGCACAUACACUAAAAUUGGAAUGAUACAGAGAUUAGCAUGGACCCUGCACAAAGAUGACAUGCAAACUGGUGAAGCAUUUCAUAUUUUU
Small nuclear RNA from Mandrillus leucophaeus (drill), 104 nucleotides. The record is from Ensembl. NCBI's taxonomy places the organism in Eukaryota, Metazoa, Chordata, Mammalia, Primates, Cercopithecidae.